This 67-nucleotide transfer RNA is filed under the name Isotomurus maculatus. Its description in RNAcentral is "tRNA-Trp". It matches the Rfam family "tRNA". From Rfam's summary of the family: Transfer RNA (tRNA) molecules are approximately 80 nucleotides in length. Their secondary structure includes four short double-helical elements and three loops (D, anti-codon, and T loops). The record is from RNAcentral. Lineage: Eukaryota; Metazoa; Arthropoda; Collembola; Entomobryomorpha; Isotomidae.
AGAAUUUUAAGUUAGCAAACUAAAGACCUUCAAAGUCUUAAUCAGAGGUUUAAUCCUCUAAAUUCUA